Molecule: non-coding RNA, 508 nt
Organism: Nothobranchius furzeri (turquoise killifish)
Lineage: Eukaryota; Metazoa; Chordata; Actinopteri; Cyprinodontiformes; Nothobranchiidae
Source: RefSeq, a predicted model, not a curated record
GUCAUGUUCCUGGGCAGAGGUGAGUCACACCUUCUCCUCUCACCAGACUCUGAGCUAAUUCUCCACAGGUGAGGAGCAGAGGGAGCAGCAGCUGCAGGAGAUUUCCCAAUCAGGGACGCGGGUUCAAAAGGAGGAUGGAGACACAUCACUUUGCCGGAUGAUUGCACCAGUUUAGGAUCAUCUCAUCAUCUACUCACCCUCGCUGUCUUCGUUUUCUGGAACAUACUCAUCACGUCCCAUCCUCCUCCGCCGUUCCUGUUUGGCUUUCCCUCUGCUACCUCACCCCUCCUGGAUCUCUCAUCCUCUGACCAGCGUCCUCCCCGGCUUCCCCUCCUCUACUGAUUAACCUGAGCACCUCAGAGACUCGAGCCGUAUUGCUCAUCCCACAGGACUUCCCUGUGCGGUUUCAGUUCCCGUUUUUAUAAUAAAGACAUUUUACUUUACUGCUUUGGACUACGUGUGCUGAUUCUGCAUGUCUUGGGUUAGACACUUACCUCGAGCCAUGACA